RNAcentral lists this ribosomal RNA (530 nucleotides) under uncultured bacterium. RNAcentral's name for it is "bacterial SSU rRNA". It matches the Rfam family "Bacterial small subunit ribosomal RNA", at positions 979 to 1509 of the family's 1533-position model. The record is from RNAcentral.
CCUUGACAUACUAAGAACUUUCCAGAGAUGGAUUGGUGCCUUCGGGAACUUAGAUACAGGUGCUGCAUGGCUGUCGUCAGCUCGUGUCGUGAGAUGUUGGGUUAAGUCCCGCAACGAGCGCAACCCUUUUCCUAUUUGCCAGCGGGUCAUGCCGGGAACUUUAAGGAUACUGCCAGUGACAAACUGGAGGAAGGCGGGGACGACGUCAAGUCAUCAUGGCCCUUACGGCCAGGGCUACACACGUGCUACAAUGGUCGGUACAAAGGGUUGCUACCUCGCGAGAGGAUGCUAAUCUCAAAAAGCCGAUCGUAGUCCGGAUCGCAGUCUGCAACUCGACUGCGUGAAGUCGGAAUCGCUAGUAAUCGCGGAUCAGAAUGCCGCGGUGAAUACGUUCCCGGGCCUUGUACACACCGCCCGUCACACCAUGGGAGUUUGUUGCACCAGAAGUAGGUAGUCUAACCGCAAGGAGGACGCUUACCACGGUGUGGCCGAUGACUGGGGUGAAGUCGUAACAAGGUAAGCGUAGAUGA